UUUUUCUUCAAUUCUUCAUACGUUCAUAUCCUGCUAACACUCUCUGGCUUUGGUUUUCUAAGGAAAGACUGAAAGGAAAAGGAACUACAGACUCCCUUAUCUUCCCCUUCCCUUCUAUGUCGUUGUUUAUAGUGUGAGCGGUUGGCUAAUGGCGUAUCUUGCUUUACUGCACUUCACAGAUAAUGGAUUUUUUUAAUAAACUGAAGGUUUGUGGUAACGCUGUUUGGAGCAAGCCAACAGCACCAUUUUUCCAACAGCAUGUGCUCCCUUCCUGCCGCCGUGUUACAUUUUGCAUGUUUUUCAUCUGGAGGACCGUGUGGUUUAGGGAAAAGUGAUACUAGCCCUGGCUCCCAAGGGUGAACACAGGACUUUGGCUAAGUCAAUAGGUGCAUCCAUGGCCCUGGCCUUGGCGACUGGCUCCAGCGUGGACUCCAGCAGUCCAUUAAGAGGGAAACUUGCAGCUUUGCCUAGAAUGCUGGGACAAACCUGAUCUCACUUUGGACAACGUAGGUAUAGGUGUGAGACCAGGAACUGCUGUGUCCAUUACACCUCCAGGACAGAAACCAGGCCAAAGCAGCAGCCAAUGCUUGGAAUACGGUAGAGCAAAUGAAUGAAGUCCAGGAGUUCUGAUUGUAUCAUAAAUGUUUAGAAAAUCCAGACCUGAGGCUUCCGUGGUUUGUAAAGUCAGUACUUAGAGGAACCAAUAAAAUUAUUUUCUUGUUUCCA
Lemur catta (Ring-tailed lemur) is the source of this 726-nucleotide long non-coding RNA. RefSeq lists it as uncharacterized. The transcript is spliced from 2 exons. The record is from RefSeq and is a predicted model, not a curated record. NCBI's taxonomy places the organism in Eukaryota, Metazoa, Chordata, Mammalia, Primates, Lemuridae.